RNAcentral lists this ribosomal RNA (234 nucleotides) under uncultured Lactobacillus sp. RNAcentral describes it as "partial 16S ribosomal RNA". It matches the Rfam family "Bacterial small subunit ribosomal RNA", at positions 128 to 356 of the family's 1533-position model. The record is from RNAcentral. Lineage: Bacteria; Bacillati; Bacillota; Bacilli; Lactobacillales; Lactobacillaceae.
GCCCAAGAGAUCGGGAUAACACCUGGAAACAGAUGCUAAUACCGGAUAACAACAGAUGAUGCCUAUCAACUGUUUAAAAGAUGGUUCUGCUAUCACUCUUGGAUGGACCUGCGGUGCAUUAGCUAGUUGGUAGGGUAACGGCCUACCAAGGCGAUGAUGCAUAGCCGAGUUGAGAGGCUGAUCGGCCACAUUGGGACUGAGACACGGCCCAAACUCCUACGGGAGGCAGCAGCG